RNAcentral lists this ribosomal RNA (144 nucleotides) under uncultured eukaryote. Its description in RNAcentral is "partial 18S ribosomal RNA". It matches the Rfam family "Eukaryotic small subunit ribosomal RNA", at positions 1299 to 1458 of the family's 1831-position model. The record is from RNAcentral.
UGGUGGAGUGAUUUGUCUGGUUAAUUUCGAUAACGAGCGAGACCUCAGCCUACUAAUUAGAUGUGAGAAUCUUCGGAUUCUUGGGGAAACAUCUUCUUAGAGGGACUAUCGGUGCGUAGCCGAUGGAAGGUUGAGGCAAUAACA